AAACCAUGGUGAAGACACUGUCUUAAUAAAUUCUUAAAUCUGUCUCAUGCUUCAAAUUGUGAUUCUCCAUCUGCUUGAGCAAAGUUUGUGAUGCAAUUUCUCAUAU
Small nucleolar RNA from Zingiber officinale, 106 nucleotides. NCBI's taxonomy places the organism in Eukaryota, Viridiplantae, Streptophyta, Magnoliopsida, Zingiberales, Zingiberaceae. The record is from RefSeq and is a predicted model, not a curated record.